GGGUUGUGAGGUUAAGCGACUAAGCGUACACGGUGGAUGCCCUGGCAGUCAGAGGCGAUGAAGGACGUGCUAAUCUGCGAUAAGCGUCGGUAAGGUGAUAUGAACCGUUAUAACCGGCGAUUUCCGAAUGGGGAAACCCAGUGUGAUUCGUCACACUAUCAUUAACUGAAUCCAUAGGUUAAUGAGGCGAACCGGGGGAACUGAAACAUCUAAGUACCCCGAGGAAAAGAAAUCAACCGAGAUUCCCCCAGUAGCGGCGAGCGAACGGGGAGCAGCCCAGAGCCUGAAUCAGUGUGUGUGUUAGUGGAAGCGUCUGGAAAGGCGUGCGAUACAGGGUGACAGCCCCGUACACAAAAAUGCACAUGCUGUGAGCUCGAUGAGUAGGGCGGGACACGUGGUAUCCUGUCUGAAUAUGGGGGGACCAUCCUCCAAGGCUAAAUACUCCUGACUGACCGAUAGUGAACCAGUACCGUGAGGGAAAGGCGAAAAGAACCCCGGCGAGGGGAGUGAAAAAGAACCUGAAACCGUGUACGUACAAGCAGUGGGAGCACAGAGCAAUCUGUGUGACUGCGUACCUUUUGUAUAAUGGGUCAGCGACUUAUAUUCUGUAGCAAGGUUAACCGAAUAGGGGAGCCGAAGGGAAACCGAGUCUUAACUGGGCGUUAAGUUGCAGGGUAUAGACCCGAAACCCGGUGAUCUAGCCAUGGGCAGGUUGAAGGUUGGGUAACACUAACUGGAGGACCGAACCGACUAAUGUUGAAAAAUUAGCGGAUGACUUGUGGCUGGGGGUGAAAGGCCAAUCAAACCGGGAGAUAGCUGGUUCUCCCCGAAAGCUAUUUAGGUAGCGCCUCGUGAAUUCAUCUCCGGGGGUAGAGCACUGUUUCGGCAAGGGGGUCAUCCCGACUUACCAACCCGAUGCAAACUGCGAAUACCGGAGAAUGUUAUCACGGGAGACACACGGCGGGUGCUAACGUCCGUCGUGAAGAGGGAAACAACCCAGACCGCCAGCUAAGGUCCCAAAGUCAUGGUUAAGUGGGAAACGAUGUGGGAAGGCCCAGACAGCCAGGAUGUUGGCUUAGAAGCAGCCAUCAUUUAAAGAAAGCGUAAUAGCUCACUGGUCGAGUCGGCCUGCGCGGAAGAUGUAACGGGGCUAAACCAUGCACCGAAGCUGCGGCAGCGACGCUUAUGCGUUGUUGGGUAGGGGAGCGUUCUGUAAGCCUGCGAAGGUGUGCUGUGAGGCAUGCUGGAGGUAUCAGAAGUGCGAAUGCUGACAUAAGUAACGAUAAAGCGGGUGAAAAGCCCGCUCGCCGGAAGACCAAGGGUUCCUGUCCAACGUUAAUCGGGGCAGGGUGAGUCGACCCCUAAGGCGAGGCCGAAAGGCGUAGUCGAUGGGAAACAGGUUAAUAUUCCUGUACUUGGUGUUACUGCGAAGGGGGGACGGAGAAGGCUAUGUUGGCCGGGCGACGGUUGUCCCGGUUUAAGCGUGUAGGCUGGUUUUCCAGGCAAAUCCGGAAAAUCAAGGCUGAGGCGUGAUGACGAGGCACUACGGUGCUGAAGCAACAAAUGCCCUGCUUCCAGGAAAAGCCUCUAAGCAUCAGGUAACAUCAAAUCGUACCCCAAACCGACACAGGUGGUCAGGUAGAGAAUACCAAGGCGCUUGAGAGAACUCGGGUGAAGGAACUAGGCAAAAUGGUGCCGUAACUUCGGGAGAAGGCACGCUGAUAUGUAGGUGAAGUCCCUCGCGGAUGGAGCUGAAAUCAGUCGAAGAUACCAGCUGGCUGCAACUGUUUAUUAAAAACACAGCACUGUGCAAACACGAAAGUGGACGUAUACGGUGUGACGCCUGCCCGGUGCCGGAAGGUUAAUUGAUGGGGUUAGCGCAAGCGAAGCUCUUGAUCGAAGCCCCGGUAAACGGCGGCCGUAACUAUAACGGUCCUAAGGUAGCGAAAUUCCUUGUCGGGUAAGUUCCGACCUGCACGAAUGGCGUAAUGAUGGCCAGGCUGUCUCCACCCGAGACUCAGUGAAAUUGAACUCGCUGUGAAGAUGCAGUGUACCCGCGGCAAGACGGAAAGACCCCGUGAACCUUUACUAUAGCUUGACACUGAACAUUGAGCCUUGAUGUGUAGGAUAGGUGGGAGGCUUUGAAGUGUGGACGCCAGUCUGCAUGGAGCCGACCUUGAAAUACCACCCUUUAAUGUUUGAUGUUCUAACGUUGACCCGUGAUCCGGGUUGCGGACAGUGUCUGGUGGGUAGUUUGACUGGGGCGGUCUCCUCCUAAAGAGUAACGGAGGAGCACGAAGGUUGGCUAAUCCUGGUCGGACAUCAGGAGGUUAGUGCAAUGGCAUAAGCCAGCUUGACUGCGAGCGUGACGGCGCGAGCAGGUGCGAAAGCAGGUCAUAGUGAUCCGGUGGUUCUGAAUGGAAGGGCCAUCGCUCAACGGAUAAAAGGUACUCCGGGGAUAACAGGCUGAUACCGCCCAAGAGUUCAUAUCGACGGCGGUGUUUGGCACCUCGAUGUCGGCUCAUCACAUCCUGGGGCUGAAGUAGGUCCCAAGGGUAUGGCUGUUCGCCAUUUAAAGUGGUACGCGAGCUGGGUUUAGAACGUCGUGAGACAGUUCGGUCCCUAUCUGCCGUGGGCGCUGGAGAACUGAGGGGGGCUGCUCCUAGUACGAGAGGACCGGAGUGGACGCAUCACUGGUGUUCGGGUUGUCAUGCCAAUGGCACUGCCCGGUAGCUAAAUGCGGAAGAGAUAAGUGCUGAAAGCAUCUAAGCACGAAACUUGCCCCGAGAUGAGUUCUCCCUGACUCCUUGAGAGUCCUGAAGGAACGUUGAAGACGACGACGUUGAUAGGCCGGAUGUGUAAGCGCAGCGAUGCGUUGAGCUAACCGGUACUAAUGAACCGUGAGGCUUAACCUUACAACGCCGAAGCUGUU
RNAcentral lists this ribosomal RNA (2932 nucleotides) under Escherichia coli O113:H21. RNAcentral's name for it is "23S ribosomal RNA". It matches the Rfam family "Bacterial large subunit ribosomal RNA". The record is from RNAcentral. Lineage: Bacteria; Pseudomonadati; Pseudomonadota; Gammaproteobacteria; Enterobacterales; Enterobacteriaceae.